UUGCGUGUUACAUAUGAUGUAAUUGGUAUUGAUCUAAAGGUUGUCAUGAUACAUGAGAUGUACGUAUGAAGUUUAGAUCAUACCUAUGUAUGUUUAAUUAUUUAAUAUAUUAUAAAAAUUUUAUUUUUAUGUGUUGAAACAUAUGGUAUGCGUCAUCUGAAAUUCUUGUAGAAUAGUUCUAUAGACUGAAACACACAUUUCACACACUU
Molecule: long non-coding RNA, 209 nt
Filed under: Elaeis guineensis (African oil palm)
Lineage: Eukaryota; Viridiplantae; Streptophyta; Magnoliopsida; Arecales; Arecaceae
Description: long non-coding RNA (EGUI_LNC075980)
Source: RNAcentral